Molecule: long non-coding RNA, 591 nt
Organism: Thalassophryne amazonica
Lineage: Eukaryota; Metazoa; Chordata; Actinopteri; Batrachoidiformes; Batrachoididae
Exons: 3
Source: RefSeq, a predicted model, not a curated record
AUGUCCUAUGAGACUUCCAGAUGCAGUUGCUUCUACUCCACCAUUAGCAGCUUUGGAAUGAAUUUUCCUGAUGCUGUAAACAUGCCCAAAUCCUCCAUCAAAAUGAAAUGUAGUGAACCUGUGCUUAUUCCCACCUCGUCUUCAAGUUCUUAGAUGGUGACACGAUGGUCCUCCAUGACCAAAGUUAUUCUAUCAUUCACUUGAUCAUUUCAUCUUGUGGAUGGCCUACUGGAAUGCGUUUUGCUCACCACUGAUGCAUGCCCAUUUUUAUUUUCAUUGUGCUCAUAGCAUCAUUGCCAAAAGCCUACUGAAACUUGCGAAUGGCUUCUGCUUAUCAUCAAGCUUUUAGCAAAAUUUAAUGCAAUACCUUUGCUCAAGGCUUUCCGUCCUGCUGUAGUAAAUGAGAAUCCGACAGGUGCUCAGUACACGUGUUCCCUCUCAGGCUGACUGCUCAUGGCUGAUGCGCUCUUCAGGUGAGAAAAAAAUCAUGCAUGCACAAGAAGGUUCCCUACACCUUCCCCACCAAAAGACAACUCACAUGCUUCAUUUGUUUCCGUGGGAUGAAAUAAGAUAGUAUGCAUUUCUCUGUGA